This 28-nucleotide non-coding RNA is filed under the name Rattus norvegicus (Norway rat). Lineage: Eukaryota; Metazoa; Chordata; Mammalia; Rodentia; Muridae. The record is from RNAcentral.
GAACUUCCCAGAAAGUCACACGUGGCCC